CAAUAGCGUAUAUUAAAGUUGUUGCAGUUAAAAAGCUCGUAGUUGGAUUUCGGGAUGGCCCGGCCGGUCUGCCGCAAGGUAUGUUACUGGCCGAGCUGUUCUUCUUCGCAAAGACUGUGUGUGCUCUUAACUGAGUGUGCUCAGGAUCUGUGACGUUUACUUUGAAAAAAUUAGAGUGUUCAAAGCAAGCCAGCGCUUGAAUACAUAAGCAUGGAAUAAUGGAAUAGGACUUUGGUUCUAUUUUGUUGGUUUCUGGAACCUUAGUAAUGAUUAAGAGAGACAGUUGGGGGCAUUCGUAUUUCGUUGUCAGAGGUGAAAUUCUUGGAUUUACGAAAGACGAACUACUACGAAAGCAUUUGCCAAGAAUGUUUUCAUUAA
Molecule: ribosomal RNA, 378 nt
Filed under: uncultured eukaryote
Lineage: Eukaryota
Description: partial 18S ribosomal RNA
Rfam family: Eukaryotic small subunit ribosomal RNA
Source: RNAcentral